Molecule: ribosomal RNA, 359 nt
Filed under: uncultured Pseudomonas sp.
Lineage: Bacteria; Pseudomonadati; Pseudomonadota; Gammaproteobacteria; Pseudomonadales; Pseudomonadaceae
Description: bacterial SSU rRNA
Rfam family: Bacterial small subunit ribosomal RNA
Source: RNAcentral
AACGUCUGACACAGGUGCUGCAUGGCUGUCGUCAGCUCGUGUCGUGAGAUGUUGGGUUAAGUCCGUAACGAGCGCAACCCUUGUCCUUAGUUACCAGCACGUUAUGGUGGGCACUCUAAGGAGACUGCCGGUGACAAACCGGAGGAAGGUGGGGAGUGACGUCAAGUCAUCAUGGCCCUUACGGCCUGGGCUACACACGUGCUACAAUGGUCGGUACAAAGGGUUGCCAAGCCGCGAGGUGGAGCUAAUCCCAUAAAACCGAUCGUAGUCCGGAUCGCAGUCUGCAACUCGACUGCGUGAAGUCGGAAUCGCUAGUAAUCGUGAAUCAGAAUGUCACGGUGAAUACGUUCCCGGGCCUU